This 906-nucleotide long non-coding RNA is filed under the name Manihot esculenta (cassava). RNAcentral describes it as "long non-coding RNA (MESC_LNC002025)". Lineage: Eukaryota; Viridiplantae; Streptophyta; Magnoliopsida; Malpighiales; Euphorbiaceae. The record is from RNAcentral.
GCAUCUCUGAAAACAUGGUGAGCAGCGGCUAAAGGAGGCUUCAGCUUUGGUUUCAUCUUCUUUGGUAAACUGAAAUAAUCAAUUGUAUUGAAUCGAAUCAAUUCAUAAAUUUAAUUUGAUUUUAAAUUUUUUCAAAUCAGUUCAAUUUUAAUUUUUUAAAAAUUAAUAAUUUAAUUUGAUUUAAUUUUUUUAAUAAUUAUCAAAAUUAUAUAUUAAAUCUUAAUUGAAAUUAACAUAUUUUAAUUGAAUCAUAAAAUAUUUAAUAUAAAAAAUAAAAAGUUUAUUUAAAAAAUUCAAUUGAGUCAAUACAAUUUAAAUUAAUUUUUUCAAUUUAAUUUAAUUUUUAUAAAUAUUUAAAUUUUAAUUCGAUUUUGAUUCUGUCUCACUCCUAUCUUUGGUUAAAAAACGAGGAGAAGGCAGAAAGACAAAGAUGACCCUGAAACAGUUUAAUGUCUUUUGAUUUGAUUUGGUUUAUAAUGGCAGUGGAGAUUUGUUGGCUAAUGGUUGUGUCUCGGGAAUGACAGAGACCAGAGUGGGAAGGGAUAGGUUACGCCAUUGAAGGAAAGGAAGGGUAAAAAGGUAAAAUGAGAACAAAACGACAGCCGGUUGGGUUGUAAGGUUGUAGGUAAGGCCUAGGCUUUGGGAAUUGAAGUGAGAAGCUGAUGGAUUUGCAGAGAUGCUAAUAUGUGUAUGUGUAUGAAGUAAUUGAAUUUGUGUUUGUGUGUGUGAGCUUCUCAGCUGUGAAGAAGAUGGUGCCAGUUGGGUUUUUUUUUUUCAAAAAAAUCUUUGAUGGCCUUGGCUAUGAGGUAAGUCAAGGGACCAAUAAAACCUUUGACAUUGUUUUCUCACGGAAUAUGUGCUUUGAUUUGGUCUUAUAACUUUGCAUGCACUAGUUUUGUUUUUAUU